Molecule: ribosomal RNA, 619 nt
Filed under: Tsukamurella sp.
Lineage: Bacteria; Bacillati; Actinomycetota; Actinomycetes; Mycobacteriales; Tsukamurellaceae
Description: bacterial SSU rRNA
Rfam family: Bacterial small subunit ribosomal RNA
Source: RNAcentral
CCCGCGGCCUAUCAGCUUGUUGGUGGGGUAAUGGCCUACCAAGGCGACGACGGGUAGCCGGCCUGAGAGGGCGACCGGCCACACUGGGACUGAGACACGGCCCAGACUCCUACGGGAGGCAGCAGUGGGGAAUAUUGCACAAUGGGCGGAAGCCUGAUGCAGCGACGCCGCGUGAGGGAUGACGGCCUUCGGGUUGUAAACCUCUUUCAGUAGGGACGAAGCGCAAGUGACGGUACCUACAGAAGAAGCACCGGCCAACUACGUGCCAGCAGCCGCGGUAAUACGUAGGGUGCGAGCGUUGUCCGGAUUUACUGGGCGUAAAGAGCUCGUAGGCGGUUUGUCACGUCGUCUGUGAAAACCCGAGGCUUAACCUCGGGCCUGCAGGCGAUACGGGCAGACUUGAGUACUGUAGGGGAGACUGGAAUUCCUGGUGUAGCGGUGGAAUGCGCAGAUAUCAGGAGGAACACCGGUGGCGAAGGCGGGUCUCUGGGCAGUAACUGACGCUGAGGAGCGAAAGCGUGGGUAGCGAACAGGAUUAGAUACCCUGGUAGUCCACGCCGUAAACGGUGGGUACUAGGUGUGGGUUUCCUUCCACGGGAUCCGUGCCGUAGCUAACGCA